UCCUCAGACUUCAGGGGCUCAUCUGUCUUCAUGCAGUUCUCCCAGUCACCUCCAUGUGAACGCUUAAUUCAAGACAAAGAUGACCUAAUUCCUUUUAAUUGCUGGCAGCAGUUGUGCUCUUCCAGGGUAGCUGUAACUGGCAGUGGCACUAGCUAAUCUUCAUUAAACAUCUCAAUAGCAGUGACUAAAACUGGGUCAGCUCCUCAGUGGCCCCCAGUAGGAGGAAGGAGCUGUGCCAGAAUUCAGCACCUGAGGAUCUUGCUUUGUCAGCCUGGAAAAGGAGCUUGUUUGCUACACCCUGAGGACUGCAUGCGGAGGGCCCCGUUCCCCAGAGAAAAGCCACCACCCAGGACUUCCGGGGGCAGAGAGCACAAGCCUGUAGAACACGUCAUGGCAGAAAUAUGUCAACAAUGAGCAGAAUCCAAAGCUUCAACCGAAGCACCUCCAAUAACUUCCAAAUAAGACGGAAACUACAGUUUCUCUGGAGCGACUGGGUAUGUGAUAAGUCUCUUAGCCUUGAAAUCCUAUUCCUAGGAUUCCUCUGAGCCAGUUUUUAAUUUCUGUUGCCAAACCCAACCAAUCUACACAAAUAUCAGCGUUCAGUGCCGCUGCACAGCAGAAAUGCCUUCUCUCCGCACACUAAAGGCUGCUCCAGCGCUUCUGCUAGGUAGCCUGACAGCUAAUUUGCAUUGAGAGGCCUCAUCAGGACUCCAGGUUAAAUCCUAGGUUGACGUUCUAGUCCAGUUAACGCUUAAAACAGAUAUCUAACUUAGAUAUAACUUGCAUAUGCUCCAGACAGCUCUCUCCAUGUCAGCUGAACUACAGACAUUGUUCAGCUAACAAGUGUCUUAAGUACUUCAAGGAUUAGAUAAGGUCUUAAGUCUUCUUGCCUCCCCCCUUAGCUACCAUUUAUACAUGCAUUUUUAUUUUCAUUACUUUUCAUACAGUUUGGUUUUUGUGAUAUGAAAAGAGUAAAUCCUUUUAGCUGACUUACUGAAAGAAACUUAAACAAGUUUAAGUAUGAAAUUACUUACAGAAGCAAAAGUGAAAUAUUUCACUAUCCCCAAAAGUUAACAGCACUGAUUAGUUACAUAAUAAAAAGCCUUUUGGCAGCACUUUAAAAGUCUGGUCCUCUGAAAGGAAGCACAUAAAGAACCACAUAUUAAACCUUGAUGACAUGAGUGGUAAAUUUCUCUACCUAGCCAUACUUCUCCACUUCAUUUGCAAAGCUUCUGUAAAAGGCUUCUCCCUUUAAAAAGAUUUUCUUGAAUGGUGCGAUCAAACCAUUGAGGCAUUAUGUAUUUGUACAGAGCUUAUAUAUAGUGCAAUACGUUUAAAAAUUCUGCUCUGAAAUAUUAACUUUACAUUAACAAAAAUAGUUUUCUUAAAAAAAUUGUAACAAAAGGAGUAUAUAGGAUAGACAGAUCAUGAGCUCUUAGCAAAUACACUUUUAAGCAUUUACCAUUACAAUACACUGAACAAUUGAAUAUUAGCAUUCAUAUCUGGUGAGCUUCCAGAGUGAAAAUAAAAGUAAAUAUUUAAAAAUAAAAAGAGUAUGUUCCCCUGUGGUUAUCUGAUAACUUUAGGUAAAUAUUCUGGCAGUGACACUUUCAAAGAAAUGUUUCUCUGCCCUUUCCUGUUUUACCCAACUGCUACAGGAUAUACAAAUAUGGAUGAAAAAACAGGCAAGGAAUGGCCCCUUCCACCUCCCAAAGCUUUCCAGCAUUAGAUGAAAUAAAGCACACAGUACUUUUUUGUACAGCAAUAACAGUUCAUUUCUCUUCCCAUCCCCAGCAUCCUUACAUCUAGUCACAAAUUAAUCAUGAGUGUGGCCAAGACUGAGCUUUAAUAUUCUGUUAGUUAAGCUGCUCAUAUGGAAAAUCCAUACCCUUCAAAGGAGCACUGCUGAGGUGAAAGGCUACUGAACUCAAGGUGGGAGGGAAAAUGGGAAAGUAAGGUAAAACAGGAAAUAAUUGCAUAUAAAACUCAUCCUUCCCCAUUUUCUAGUUUCUGUUUAACAGGAGAUCCAAGGGCUCCCACACACCUGAAUACCUGAGGAGUUGGUUACUGUGAUAUCUGAUAGUGAAACAAAACUACGUCUCCCACUGUGCCCGACCAGGGCUGUAAGUGAAAACGUUUGCUUACAAAUCAGUUAGAACUGAAUUAACUAUCACUGAAAUUACCAUUUAAAAACCUGACUUUUUUUUUUUUUUUGGUACUUUGGAGGUUUUACUCACAACUGUCCUGAAUUUAAUUUAAACAAAUCAAACAAGUAAAAUUCUCAGCACAUUUGCAGUUUUAUGGGAAAUUUGAGAUUUUGAUUCCCUAAACUCAAUCAUCAUUUCAGAUCAUCUUUACCAUGAUACCUCCUCCAGACUGUAAAAUAUCAAGCAGGUAAGAAUCAACAUUUCCAUGACCACAAUGAAUAAUUAAAAAAAAACGGAACAAUGAUAAAGCUGCUUGUAAAAGCCACCCGUAUGAAAAGAGUACAUGUUUCACAAAAAUAAUUGUUAAAAAAAGUAUUAAAUCUCUUGUCCUUUUUUCUCUGAUUUUGGCUGUUUAUA
Molecule: non-coding RNA, 2564 nt
Organism: Struthio camelus australis
Lineage: Eukaryota; Metazoa; Chordata; Aves; Struthioniformes; Struthionidae
Source: RefSeq, a predicted model, not a curated record